RNAcentral lists this ribosomal RNA (253 nucleotides) under uncultured bacterium. RNAcentral describes it as "partial 16S ribosomal RNA". It matches the Rfam family "Bacterial small subunit ribosomal RNA", at positions 524 to 776 of the family's 1533-position model. The record is from RNAcentral.
UACGAAGGGGGCUAGCGUUGUUCGGAAUCACUGGGCGUAAAGCGCACGUAGGCGGAUUUGUAAGUCAGGGGUGAAAUCCCGGGGCUCAACCUCGGAACUGCCUUUGAUACUGCAAGUCUCGAGUCCGAGAGAGGUGAGUGGAAUUCCUAGUGUAGAGGUGAAAUUCGUAGAUAUUAGGAAGAACACCAGUGGCGAAGGCGGCUCACUGGCUCGGUACUGACGCUGAGGUGCGAAAGCGUGGGGAGCAAACAGG